GAGUUUGAUCGUGGCUCAGAUUGAACGCUGGCGGCAUGCCUUACACAUGCAAGUCGAACGGCAGCACGGGAGCUUGCUCCUGGUGGCGAGUGGCGAACGGGUGAGUAAUGCAUCGGAACGUAUCCUGGAGUGGGGGAUAACGUAGCGAAAGUUACGCUAAUACCGCAUAUUCUGUGAGCAGGAAAGCGGGGGACCUUCGGGCCUCGCGCUCUUGGAGCGGCCGAUGUCGGAUUAGCUAGUUGGUGAGGUAAAGGCUCACCAAGGCGACGAUCCGUAGCAGGUCUGAGAGGAUGAUCUGCCACACUGGAACUGAGACACGGUCCAGACUCCUACGGGAGGCAGGCAGUGGGGAAUUUUGGACAAUGGGGGCAACCCUGAUCCAGCCAUGCCGCGUGAGUGAAGAAGGCCUCGG
RNAcentral lists this ribosomal RNA (412 nucleotides) under bacterium enrichment culture clone ALO1_GLFRUDD03HGJ1V. Its description in RNAcentral is "bacterial SSU rRNA". It matches the Rfam family "Bacterial small subunit ribosomal RNA", at positions 9 to 420 of the family's 1533-position model. The record is from RNAcentral.